UGAGGGAAAGGUGAAAAGCACCCCGGGAGGGGAGUGAAAGAGUUCCUGAAACCGUGCGCCUACGAUCCGUCGGAGCCUCUUUGUGGGGUGACGGCGUGCCUAUCGAAAAAUGAGUCUGCGAGUCAGUGGCGGGUGGCGAGCGUAAGCCGUGUGGUGUACGCGUAGCGAAGGCGAGUCUCAAAAGGCGUUGAGUCGCCCGUCCUGGACCCGAAGCGGGAUGAUCUAGCCCUGGGC
RNAcentral lists this ribosomal RNA (234 nucleotides) under Bifidobacterium reuteri. Its description in RNAcentral is "partial 23S ribosomal RNA". It matches the Rfam family "Bacterial large subunit ribosomal RNA", at positions 504 to 741 of the family's 2925-position model. Lineage: Bacteria; Bacillati; Actinomycetota; Actinomycetes; Bifidobacteriales; Bifidobacteriaceae. The record is from RNAcentral.